UACGGAGGGGGCUAGCGUUAUUCGGAAUUAUUGGGCGUAAAGGGCGUGUAGGCGGCUUCGUAAGUCUUGUGUGAAAGCCCUCGGCUCAACCGAGGAAUUGCACGAGAAACUGCGUGGCUCGAGUCCGGGAGAGGAUAGUGGAAUUCCCAGUGUAGCGGUGAAAUGCGCAGAUAUCGGGAGGAACACCAGUAGCGAAGGCGACACUCUGGGCCGGUACUGACGCUGAGGAGCGAAAGCGUGAGGAGCAAACAGG
Molecule: ribosomal RNA, 253 nt
Filed under: uncultured bacterium
Lineage: Bacteria
Description: partial 16S ribosomal RNA
Rfam family: Bacterial small subunit ribosomal RNA
Source: RNAcentral